UUGCUAGGUGGAUUAGUGGCGAACGGGUGAGUAAUACGUGAGUAACCUACCUUUAACUCUGGGAUAAGCCUGGGAAACUGGGUCUAAUACCGGAUACGACCAAUCUCCGCAUGGGGUGUUGGUGGAAAGCGUUAUGUAGUGGUUAUAGAUGGGCUCACGGCCUAUCAGCUUGUUGGUGAGGUAACGGCUCACCAAGGCGACGACGGGUAGCCGGCCUGAGAGGGGUGACCGGCCACACUGGGACUGAGACACGGCCCAGACUCCUACGGGAGGCAGCAGUGGGGAAUAUUGCACAAUGGGCGCAAGCCUGAUGCAGCGACGCCGCGUGAGGGAUGACGGCCUUCGGGUUGUAAACCUCUGUUAGCAGGGAAGAAGAGAGAUUGACGGUACCUGCAGAGAAAGCGCCGGCUAACUACGUGCCAGCAGCCGCGGUAAUACGUAGGGCGCGAGCGUUGUCCGGAAUUAUUGGGCGUAAAGAGCUUGUAGGCGGUUUGUCGCGUCUGCUGUGAAAGGCCGGGGCUUAACCCCGUGUAUUGCAGUGGGUACGGGCAGACUAGAGUGCAGUAGGGGAGACUGGGAAUUCCUGGUGUAGCGGUGGAAUGCGCAGAUAUCAGGAGGAACACCGAUGGCGAAGGCAGGUCUCUGGGCUGUAACUGACGCUGAGAAGCGAAAGCAUGGGGAGCGAACAGGAUUAGAUACCCUGGUAGUCCAUGCCGUAAACGUUGGGCACUAGGUGUGGGGGACAUUCCACGUUUUCCGCGCCGUAGCUAACGCAUUAAGUGCCCCGCCUGGGGAGUACGGCCGCAAGGCUAAAACUCAAAGAAAUUGACGGGGGCCCGCACAAGCGGCGGAGCAUGCGGAUUAAUUCGAUGCAACGCGAAGAACCUUACCAAGGCUUGACAUAUACUGGACCGCAUCAGAGAUGGUGUUUCCCUUCGGGGCUGGUAUACAGGUGGUGCAUGGUUGUCGUCAGCUCGUGUCGUGAGAUGUUGGGUUAAGUCCCGCAACGAGCGCAACCCUCGUUCUAUGUUGCCAGCACGUUAUGGUGGGGACUCAUAGGAGACUGCCGGGGUCAACUCGGAGGAAGGUGGGGAUGACGUCAAAUCAUCAUGCCCCUUAUGUCUUUGGGCUUCACGCAUGCUACAAUGGCCGGUACAGAGGGUUGCGAUACUGUGAGGUGGAGCUAAUCCCUAAAAGCCGGUCUCAGUUCGGAUUGGGGUCUGCAACUCGACCCCAUGAAGUCGGAGUCGCUAGUAAUCGCAGAUCAGCAACGCUGCGGUGAAUACGUUCCCGGGCCUUGUACACACCGCCCGUCAAGUCACGA
RNAcentral lists this ribosomal RNA (1324 nucleotides) under Rothia mucilaginosa. RNAcentral describes it as "bacterial SSU rRNA". It matches the Rfam family "Bacterial small subunit ribosomal RNA", at positions 80 to 1407 of the family's 1533-position model. Lineage: Bacteria; Bacillati; Actinomycetota; Actinomycetes; Micrococcales; Micrococcaceae. The record is from RNAcentral.